This 253-nucleotide ribosomal RNA is filed under the name uncultured bacterium. RNAcentral describes it as "partial 16S ribosomal RNA". It matches the Rfam family "Bacterial small subunit ribosomal RNA", at positions 524 to 776 of the family's 1533-position model. The record is from RNAcentral.
UACGGGGGGGGCAAGCGUUGUUCGGAAUUACUGGGCGUAAAGGGCUCGUAGGUGGCCAACUAAGUCAGACGUGAAAUCCCCAGGCUUAACCUGGGAACUGCGUCUGAUACUGGAUGGCUUGAAUUCGGGAGAGGGAUGCAGAAUUCCAGGUGUAGCGGUGAAAUGCGUAGAUAUCUGGAGGAAUACCGGUGGCGAAGGCGGCAUCCUGGACCGAGAUUGACGCUGAUGAGCGAAAGCUAGGGGAGCAAACGGG